This 494-nucleotide ribosomal RNA is filed under the name uncultured bacterium. RNAcentral's name for it is "partial 16S ribosomal RNA". It matches the Rfam family "Bacterial small subunit ribosomal RNA", at positions 28 to 507 of the family's 1533-position model. The record is from RNAcentral.
GACGAACGCUGGCGGCGCGCUUAACACAUACAAGUCGAACGGAAAGGCCUGCUUUCCCUUGUGGAUUGCGGGUACUCGAGUGGCGAACGGGUGAGUAACACGUGAGUGAUCUGCCCCCAACUUGGGUAUAAGCCUGGGAAACUGGGUCUAAUUCCCGAUAGGACUGCAGGGUGGUGCCUGUGGUGGAAAACGAUUUUCUAGUGGUUGGGGAUGAGCUCGCGGCCUAUCAGCUUGUUGGUGGGGUAAUGGCCUACCAAGGCGGCGACGGGUAGCCGGCCUGAGAGGGUGGACGGCCACAUUGGGACUGAGAUACGGCCCAGACUCCUACGGGAGGCAGCAGUGGGGAAUAUUGCACAAUGGGCGGAAGCCUGAUGCAGCGACGCCGCGUGGGGGAUGACGGCCUUCGGGUUGUAAACUCCUUUCGACCGCGAGGAAGCCACCUGGUUGGAAGGGUGGUGACGGUAGUGGUAGAAGAAGCACCGGCUAACUACGUG